This 484-nucleotide ribosomal RNA is filed under the name uncultured bacterium. Its description in RNAcentral is "partial 16S ribosomal RNA". It matches the Rfam family "Bacterial small subunit ribosomal RNA", at positions 30 to 507 of the family's 1533-position model. The record is from RNAcentral.
AUUGAACGCUGGCGGCAGGCCUAACACAUGCGAGUCGAGCGGAUGAAGGGAGCUUGCUCCUGGAUUCAGCGGCGGACGGGUGAGUAAUGCCUAGGAAUCUGCCUGGUAGUGGGGGAUAACGUCCGGAAACGGGCGCUAAUACCGCAUACGUCCUGAGGGAGAAAGUGGGGGAUCUUCGGACCUCACGCUAUCAGAUGAGCCUAGGUCGGAUUAGCUAGUUGGUGGGGUAAAGGCCUACCAAGGCGACGAUCCGUAACUGGUCUGAGAGGAUGAUCAGUCACACUGGAACUGAGACACGGUCCAGACUCCUACGGGAGGCAGCAGUGGGGAAUAUUGAACAAUGGGCGAAAGCCUGAUCCAGCCAUGCCGCGUGUGUGAAGAAGGUCUUCGGAUUGUAAAGCACUUUAAGUUGGGAGGAAGGGCAGUAAGUUAAUACCUUGCUGUUUUGACGUUACCAACAGAAUAAGCACCGGCUAACUUCGUG